RNAcentral lists this ribosomal RNA (428 nucleotides) under uncultured prokaryote. Its description in RNAcentral is "bacterial SSU rRNA". It matches the Rfam family "Bacterial small subunit ribosomal RNA", at positions 355 to 774 of the family's 1533-position model. The record is from RNAcentral.
UGAGGAAUAUUGCGCAAUGGGGGCAACCCUGACGCAGCGACGCCGCGUGAGUGAGGAAGGCCUUCGGGUCGUAAAGCUCUGUCAAAGGGAAAGAAAUGCAUAAUGGCUAAUACCUGUUAUGUUUGACGGUACCCUUAAAGGAAGCACCGGCUAACUCCGUGCCAGCAGCCGCGGUAAUACGGAGGGUGCAAGCGUUGUUCGGAAUUACUGGGCGUAAAGGGCGCGUAGGCGGUUUGAUAAGUCAGAUGUGAAAGCCCACGGCUUAACUGUGGAAGUGCAUUUGAAACUGUCAGACUUGAGUACCAGAGGGGAAAGUGGAAUUCCCGGUGUGGAGUUGAAAUUCGUAGAUAUCGGGAGGAAUAGCGGUGGCGAAAGCGACUUUCUGGCUGGAUACGGACGCUGAGGCGCGAAAGCGUGGGGAGCAAACA